RNAcentral lists this non-coding RNA (84 nucleotides) under Candidatus Amulumruptor caecigallinarius. Lineage: Bacteria; Pseudomonadati; Bacteroidota; Bacteroidia; Bacteroidales; Muribaculaceae. The record is from RNAcentral.
AGUGGGGGUGUCUGAGAGAUGAUCUCUCAGGCUGAGAUUAUACCCAUAGAACCUGAUGCGGAUAAUCCCGCCGAAGGAAAAACU